Molecule: ribosomal RNA, 1707 nt
Filed under: Triticum aestivum (bread wheat)
Lineage: Eukaryota; Viridiplantae; Streptophyta; Magnoliopsida; Poales; Poaceae
Description: partial small subunit ribosomal RNA
Source: RNAcentral
AUGGAAGCAGCAGGGGAUGAGGAGAGGCCCUUGCUCCAACACCCACCUCCUCACCUCCAUCAGGAUGGGGAUUCGAGAUACACCAAUGACGGAACAAUGGAUGUUAACGGACAACCUGCUGUUAAGGCAAGCACAGGGAACUGGAGAGCAUGCUUCUUCAUCUUAGGUGUCCAAUUCAGCGAAUGCUUGGCCUUCUUCGCGAUCUCCAAAAACUUGGUCACCUACCUUACCAGCGUGCUCCAUGAAAGCAAUAUCGACGCGGCGAGGAAUGUGUCCACUUGGUUUGGCACCACAUUCUUCACGCCGCUUAUUGGAGCCUUCUUGGCAGACACGUAUUGGGGGAGGUACAAGACAUUAGUGGUUUUCCUCUCAGUCUACAUCGUCGGGAUGCUUGUCCUGACGGUUUCGACGACGCUCCCAUGGAUGAUUCAAUCCUCCAACCACAGUGAGAUUCACCGUAUCACCGUCUAUGUUGGACUCUAUCUUACAGCCCUUGGCAACGGUGGCAUCAAGCCAUGCACCUCCACUUUUGGCGCUGACCAGUUUGACAUCACCGACCCGACGGAGCGGGUGAAGAAGGGCUCAUUCUUCAAUUGGUUCUACUUCUUGAACACUAUUGGCUCCCUUUUGUCGACCACUGUGAUUGUCUGGGUGCAAGACAAUGUUGGGUGGGGGAUCGGCUUUGCGAUCCCGAUGAUCCUCACGAGUCUCAGUUUCACGGUGUUUAUCGCUAGUAGGAGGAUCUACAGAUACAAGUCAACAGGAGAGAGUCCCAUGACAACAGCUUCCCGGGUUGUUGUUGCAGCUGCAAGAAAUCGCCGUCUGGAGUUGCCCGAGGAUUGCACAACCUUGCAUCACUCGCCUUCACCACCCUCAGAGGCUACGUUCAAUGUUCAGCAUACCACUCAGUUCAGAUUUUUGGACAAGGCUGCCAUUGUGUCACCGUCGACACAGGAGAAGAAAGGCACGGCGACGAGCCCAUGGAGGCUAUGCGCACUCUCUCAUGUAGAAGAGGUGAAGAUGCUGCUACGUCUGUGCCCUGCAUGGGCGUCCUUGGUGGUCUUCUUCAUGAUCACGGCACAGAUGUCGUCGACGGUGAUUGAGCAGGGUAUGGCAAUGGACAACCGCGUGUGGUCAUUCACCGUGCCACCGGCCUCCCUCGCCAGCUUCAAUGUGGUCACCACACUUGUAUUGAUCCCCAUAUAUGACGUUGUGCUAGUUCCCCUAGCUCGGCGUGCCACCGGUGAGGACCGAGGCCUCACGCAACCGCAGCGCCUCGGCGUCGGUCUCGCGUUGUCCACUCUGGCCAUGGCUUACCUGGCUCUUCUCGAGAGGAACCGUCUCGCGGUCGGGGAAGCGGUGAGCAUUAUGUGGCAGGCACCGGCAUACGCCAUGAUGGGUGUCAGUGAGGUGUUUACGGUCAUCGGCACGCUCGAGCUCUUCUACGACCGGGCUCCGGACAACAUGAGGAGCAUGUGCACCGCAUUCGCGCAGCUCGCCAUCGCGGCAGGGAGCUACCUCAACUCGGCAGCGCUGGGCGUUGUCGCGUCCGCCACGAUGUGGAUCCCGGAGGACCUCGACGACGGACACUUGGACUACUUCUUCUGGACGAUAGCGGCGCUCAGUGCCCUGAAUCUGCUGCAGUUUGUAUUCUACUCUAUGAGGUACAACGACAACGUAGCUUGUCGACAAUGCCAUCCAUAUUAG